GACGAACCGUGCGAACGUUGUUUGGAUUCACUGGGCUUAAAGGGCGCGUAGGCGGGCGGUCAAGUCGGGGGUGAAAUCUUUCCGCUUAACGGGAAGCGUGCCUCCGAUACUGAUCGCCUCGAGGGAGGUAGGGGCAUGUGGAACUUCCGGUGGAGCGGUGAAAUGCGUAGAUAUCGGAAGGAACGCCGGUGGCGAAAGCGACGUGCUGGACCUCUUCUGACGCUGAGGCGCGAAAGCUAGGGGAGCAAACGGG
This 253-nucleotide ribosomal RNA is filed under the name uncultured prokaryote. RNAcentral describes it as "partial 16S ribosomal RNA". It matches the Rfam family "Bacterial small subunit ribosomal RNA", at positions 524 to 776 of the family's 1533-position model. The record is from RNAcentral.